Molecule: RNA transcript, 2156 nt
Organism: Sus scrofa (pig)
Lineage: Eukaryota; Metazoa; Chordata; Mammalia; Artiodactyla; Suidae
Gene: IRX2-DT
Gene name: IRX2 divergent transcript
Source: RefSeq, a predicted model, not a curated record
UUGGGGGAGUCUGGAGUCGGGAGUGAGGAGUUGAGGAAGGAGCGCUCGAGUUUCCGAGGGACAUUGGAACGCGGAGCUGUCCGUCACGCGCUCAUCUGCAUAUUCGGGUGCCCGCCCCCUCCCCUGCUCCGCCCGCUCCGCCCGCACCCGCCGCCCGGUCGCGGCCGGAGGAGGGGCGGGCGGGGAGCAGGAGGCGGGAGGCAGGGAGGGAGGGAGCGGGAGGCGGGAGCGACGCACAGGCUUUUGUGGCGCAGUCGCCUCUCGCGCAGCCCUAGCCCGCGGCCCGCGGCCCCGCAGCCCGGCCUGGCCGAGCGGUGCGCACCCCUCCCACUCGCGCGGACUCCCGGCCCCCGCCCCCGCCCCCCCGCCCCCACCUUCCGCGGCCAGCCCCCCGGCCCCCGUCGCGCGGGCCCUCUGCCCCUGAUCCGCCCCAGUUCGGCCCGCAAGGACCAGGCAGAGGCCAUCCGCUUCCACUUGGGGGACGAAUGGCCCGUGCCCCCCUCUUCGCCGCGAGGAGGUCGGCCCAGGUGACUGCGCACGGGACACCAGUGUCCGGGCCGGGAGCCACGGCGAAGUGGAAGCGGUGUGGCACCGAGGCCCGUGUCCUCCUGGGGGGGGCGUGCGCGGCUCUCGCUUCCACCUUCCUCGGUCCGUCCAGCCCGCAGCACGGCGCAAGGCUCCCUGCGUGGCCGCGCGUUUGGUCGCCUGCCCCGCCGCCCGACAUGUCCCCGCGGGACCCGGAUCCGGGGUGCUUUCCUGGCGAACUGCCAGGAGGGCCCGGAGCACUCGGGCGAAUGAUUGUCACCGGACAGACCGCUGAAACCUCGCCGUCACUCGGAAGGGACGAGAAAGCGACAGGCUGGUGGGACGGCCGGCGCAGUUGGCAGCACAGGUGGCUCAGAUUAAAGUUGGCUUGGUCUUCUUAAAAAAAAAAAAUCAGUCGAAAGAGCAGUCUGCAAGCAUCGGGACGCGACGCGGUGCUCCGCGCGCGGCCGCCUGCAAGGGUGCCCAGGAUUCGUUGGAACUGCGUCUCCGUUCACCGCGGGGAGCGCUCGGCUGUGCCCGGGCCCCACGGCCGCCUAUCUCAGGCAGCAGGGACCUAGAUGCUUCGCUCAAGGGCGAGGAGGGUGUUCAAGGCCUCUGGAUCACCUGGGUACCGAUGGGCACUUGGCUUCUGUUGCUUUGAUUUUUGCCCUCCGAGCUGGAAGGGAAGAGAAUGCACGCAGGGCCAACCGGGUAAUUGCCCGAAAGCGCGCUCAAAAGGAGCGAUUACCCUGGGCACGGUUUCUGGUUUAUGCAGGAUCCUCCCCUAGGCCCCUUGCGGGCGGGCGUUUAAAAAGGACGCGCGGGGGCGGGGGGCACUGGUUAAGGCGGUCACAUUUCUGUGUCUUGUCCCAACAGUGGCCGAUGCGUUUGGAACAAGUCGGCGUGGACAUGCAGGUUUCCUGGAGGCCAAGCUCUGGGAAAGGGCAAAAUCGCGGGCUUGCCGUCCCAGUCCUUCCCGGGAAGCGGCGGUGGCGCGGGCCAAGGCGCCCUCCACACGCGCGGCCAGUCCUGGGGUUCCCGGCCGGCGGGCAGGCAGGCAGGCCGAGCAGUGGCGCGGCCCGAAGUCGUGCGCGCGGGCGGCGAGGGGGCGCUGUGGCUCGCGGCUGCCACCUCGUCCCCGCAGCGGCGGCCCUGGCCACCGAUGGGCGGCGGGCGCUCCGGCCCUGCCUCCCCCCUCGUGGGCUUAAAUCGGGGAAGGACAGUACCGCGGCAGCAUUUCAAUAAAACCUGAGCCGCACUCGACCCUUCUCUCACUCCGCCCGUCGCCCUGUCUCAGGCGGAGGUUGUCAGGCACCAUUCGGGAGUGUGUAAAUGGGGGGGUGUCAAUUACGAUUAGGCAGACACAUUUACAUAGACCCCCCCCCAUGAAGGAACAUCUGCAGUGUGAGUCGUUGCAGGGUAUCAAGGCACAUUUCCAGCGUGUUCCCUAAUCGAGUUUCCUAAUCCAGUUUCCUCAGGCCCCAGAACUUCUAGGCGGGACUGCGGAGCGAGAGACAGCAAGAACGCGAGGGGAAAAGCACGAGAGUUCCGGUCGGCCUUUUUCUUUGCUUCUCUCUCUCUCUCUUUUUUUUUUUUUUUUUUUUUGUCGCUAUAAAUUGUACAAAAUUAAA